RNAcentral lists this ribosomal RNA (440 nucleotides) under uncultured bacterium. Its description in RNAcentral is "partial 16S ribosomal RNA". It matches the Rfam family "Bacterial small subunit ribosomal RNA", at positions 338 to 795 of the family's 1533-position model. The record is from RNAcentral.
CCUACGGGUGGCAGCAGUAGGGAAUAUUGCUCAAUGGGGGAAACCCUGAAGCAGCAACGCCGCGUGGGGGAUGAAGGUUCUCUGAUUUUAAACUCCUUUUGUUAGAGAAGAUAAUGACGGUAUCUAACGAAUAAGCACCGGCUAACUCCGUGCCAGCAGCCGCGGUACUACGGAGGGUGCAAGCGUUAUUCGGAAUCACUGGGCGUAAAGGGCGUGUAGGCGGGAUAGCAAGUCAGAUGUGAAAUCCUAUGGCUUAACCAUAGAACUGCAUUUGAAACUGUUAUUCUAGAGUAUGGGAAGGGUAGGUGGAAUUCUUGGUGUAGGGGUAAAAUCCGUAGAGAUCAAGAGGAAUACUCAUUGCGAAGGCGGCCUGCUAGAACAUAACUGACGCUGAUGCGCGAAAGCGUGGGGAGCAAACAGGAUUAGAUACCCUUGUAGUC